RNAcentral lists this ribosomal RNA (497 nucleotides) under uncultured bacterium. RNAcentral's name for it is "partial 16S ribosomal RNA". It matches the Rfam family "Bacterial small subunit ribosomal RNA", at positions 28 to 507 of the family's 1533-position model. The record is from RNAcentral.
GAUGAACGCUGGCGGCGUGCCUAAUACAUGCAAGUCGAGCGAACAGACGAGGAGCUUGCUCCUCUGACGUUAGCGGCGGACGGGUGAGUAACACGUGGAUAACCUACCUAUAAGACUGGGAUAACUUCGGGAAACCGGAGCUAAUACCGGAUAAUAUAUUGAACCGCAUGGUUCAAUAGUGAAAGACGGUUUUGCUGUCACUUAUAGAUGGAUCCGCGCCGCAUUAGCUAGUUGGUAAGGUAACGGCUUACCAAUGCGACGAUGCGUAGCCGACCUGAGAGGGUGAUCGGCCACACUGGAACUGAGACACGGUCCAGACUCCUACGGGAGGCAGCAGUAGGGAAUCUUCCGCAAUGGGCGAAAGCCUGACGGAGCAACGCCGCGUGAGUGAUGAAGGUCUUCGGAUCGUAAAACUCUGUUAUUAGGGAAGAACAAAUGUGUAAGUAACUAUGCACGUCUUGACGGUACCUAAUCAGAAAGCCACGGCUAACUACGUG